CCCAUAAAAAUAAACUCGGGCGGUAGAGACACAAACUGAUUGUUGUAGCAGUAUUCGUGAGGGUGGGAUGAAACAUUUUCGUCUUGGGCGAUCUGUUUCGGCUUUCCNGGUGUUUCAGAAACAACAAAAAAAAUGGGUAUUAUUGAGUGUAGAUCUGGNUGGUCCAAAAUUUGCUUCGUUGGUGGUCUGCGAAACUGCAAACGUGUUAGAUAGCCGGGUGGUUCGCUGCUAUUCGAAUCAGCGUGUGCGGUCUCACAACGUGUGGUCUCAAU
RNAcentral lists this unclassified non-coding RNA (272 nucleotides) under Haemonchus contortus (barber pole worm). RNAcentral's name for it is "external transcribed spacer". The record is from RNAcentral. Lineage: Eukaryota; Metazoa; Nematoda; Chromadorea; Rhabditida; Trichostrongylidae.